CCUACGGGGGGCUGCAGUAACGAAUAUUCCGCAAUGGGCGAAAGCCUGACGGAGCAAUGCCGCGUGUGGGAUGAAGCGGUUUCGCCGUGUAAACCACUGUCAGGAGAUAGAAAAGCUGAUCAUCUCCAGAGGAAGGGGCGACUAACUCUGUGCCAGCAGUCGCGGUAAUACAGAGGCCCCAAGCGUUAGUCGGAAUCACUGGGCUUAAAGGGUGCGUAGGCGGGCGUGUAAGUGUCUUGUGAAAGCCCCGGGCUCAACCCGGGAACCGCAGGGCA
RNAcentral lists this ribosomal RNA (275 nucleotides) under uncultured bacterium. RNAcentral describes it as "partial 16S ribosomal RNA". It matches the Rfam family "Bacterial small subunit ribosomal RNA", at positions 338 to 630 of the family's 1533-position model. The record is from RNAcentral.